UUGGUUUCCUUUAAUUACCUCAAUGUAAAUUAUUAUCAAUCUAGAUAUACAUACAUGUAGAUUGUGUUGGUCUGUGUGCUUUAUCUUGUUGACAUCUCUUUGACAUCCUGAUUUUCCCUGACAUCUUUAAGUGUUUGAAGAUAAUUCUUGUCUUUAUUCCUUUACUAAGAUUUGCCAAGUAUUAUAUGAAAAGAAUAUUUACAAUUAUAUCUGCUGAUUUAAGACAACAAGAUUAUUAUCUCAACUCUAUUUUAGAAGCUUUAGUGAAAAAUUGGGUAAGAUUAAGUUUGAAGCAUUUGAUGUGCACCUCACACAAAAAUGACUUUCUUCCAACUACUACAUGUAUGUCUAACAAAGUAACAACUUUCACAGGCUUUUAUUCUAAACACACUUACUUUUUUACCAAGAUUUGCUUAGAAAAAGCAAGAAUCCAGAGAGCAUCCGAAUCAGAUCCCCUUAAUUGUGAAAGAAUUCUGCAUUCUCUAUUCUAUUCUAUCUUGACUCUACUAUCAGAAGCUUUAGUGAGAAAUUGGGUAAGAGUUUGCUCGAAGCAUUUGAUGUGCACCCCACAGACAAAUUUCUUUCUGCCAAUUCUUGAGUCUAGUAACAAAGUAACAGUUACCACAGGCUUUUAUAUCAUAAUUACAUGGAUUCUAAACUCUGAUUUUUACCUUUUUAACAGAUGUGCUUUAUAGAAAGAGCGAAAAGUUAACUGCCAAAAGACAUCCAGAGUGUCCGUAUUAGGAGGUUUCCUUGGGAAAGAACUCUGUAAUGCUGCAGCAAGGGCAUAAAGAAGCAACAGAGAUGGCAAGACAGGCAAGUCAUCUUCCAUCAACAGGGAUCUCAUUAAAAACUUUACAGAGCUCUACCACCGAAAAUCAUUCUUUAACAUCAAACCAAAGAGACAUCAUCAGUCCUUUAAAGGUUUUACAAGUGUUCCUUCUGUAACAGAAGGACAAAAAGGGGCAUUCAAGAGCACCUUAUUACACUACAGCGCAAAAAUGGAUUGGGAAAGGCCUUUGAUCAAUCAAUUUGAUCAAUUGGACAAGACCGUCAUCGACUCGCCAAGCACAUCUGGAUUUCAAAUUACUAUAGGUAAAAGUAGAGUAUCACUACUGCCGCCUUUGCUUGCCUACACUGCAAUAGUUUUCUGUUUCCUAUCUUUGUUUUUCCCAUUUUCAGAUCAUACUUGGGGAUGAAAUUUAAAAAAAUCGAACAACCAUGAACCUCAUAAGCAGGCAGCCAAAACACUCUGUCUUCAUCAAGGACCUCGCAUUGGCCAUUUUUGGGAAGACUGUAUUGACUGCAAGUUCAGUAGAUAGAAAAUUGAGCCCACGUCCAGGACAAGGUGGCCAAACCAGCCCGUGAUUCCAAGAAGGUGGAAGUGUUGAGAGGUAAAUGUACAUUUCCAAAGCCAUCUGUCUCUAUAUGAGUGCAUCCCACAAAAAAGGGAAAAUAAUUUUCAGAGGAGAUUUGAGACAUCGUUUGUGUGUGGCAGAUUAACAAUUUGCGCAGAAACUCACGUGUGAAUCUGAUCCACUCUCAUUUCAGGGAUCAGUGAGAGAAAGUUAACAAUGAAUACAAAAGAAAUGCGAUUGAGCCACUCGUUGAAUAAGCAUGGUUGUUGAAUCACAAAUGAAUCUUGUUCAACCUUUCUGCACAUCCUGAUUUUGGAAUUAAAAUUUAAAACUCAUCUUGCUCACUUAUGCCUGAUGUGUUCAUCUCAUUUAGAUAUCAAAAUAUAGAGGAUUAAUUUAAUUGUAUGAUGAUGUAAAUGAAAUAUCAUAAUUCAUUUUCCUAUGAAGAAAAGGAACGUGGGAAUCCCGUUUUCCUAAAAAAAAAAUUAUUACAUAUUAAACAUUCCCAUUGCUAGGUCUUUUGGUGCCUUUGAAGCAGUGCUGAUAUUGGGAAUUAAGUCUUGAUGACGAAAGCUCAAAGCUGUGCACUUUCAAUACGCCAUUCAACAUAUAUUAGGUGCCAGAUAUUACUGAAAGACAAUCAAAUUAAUUCUACAAGGAUUGGAAUAUAGAAAGAGAUGACAAUAUUCUUGUCCCAGGCAAGAAUGGCGCCAAGUAAAACAUAGCCUGCACAAGGUCUCCAGUAUGCAUAAGAAAGAAACAGGAAAUUCUACUUGGUGCAGAUCUAAAGUCAAAGAGGUUAAUAUGGAGGUUUGGCAGUAAAUCCCCAUUUUUUGUUUAAGUGACUUUAACUGCAUCUGUUUCCUCCAAAUCGGCAGG
Lytechinus variegatus (green sea urchin) is the source of this 2237-nucleotide long non-coding RNA. RefSeq lists it as uncharacterized. The transcript has 2 exons. The record is from RefSeq and is a predicted model, not a curated record. NCBI's taxonomy places the organism in Eukaryota, Metazoa, Echinodermata, Echinoidea, Temnopleuroida, Toxopneustidae.